Long non-coding RNA from Peromyscus eremicus (cactus mouse), 834 nucleotides. RefSeq lists it as uncharacterized. The record is from RefSeq and is a predicted model, not a curated record. NCBI's taxonomy places the organism in Eukaryota, Metazoa, Chordata, Mammalia, Rodentia, Cricetidae. The transcript is spliced from 3 exons.
CCUGCUUUCAUAGGUGUGUCCAUGAAGAGCUAUUCAAGUGAGACAAAAGUGAUUUCGGCCUCUGGUCUUCUCCCAACACCAGGCUCCUUGCAUGAUGAAUACAGUCCAUCUGAUAGGCUGCAAAAGAUCCAUGGACACCUGAGUAGAUGGGUCCCGGGUCAUGACUGGAAGACCCAAACCCAACAUCUCCAUAAAAGUUGUGGACUGAGGUAUAUGGCAGUUGAUUUGAUGUCUGAUGCACUUGUUACGUGGACUAUGUAAGCGUAGACUCCUACGGAAAUCAAGAGGCCUCCAGACUGCAACACCUCAUACAAAAUUAAAGCUACUGAAGCUACUGACCUAGAAGAACUGCCACAAAGGCAGUUAAAGGGACCAAAGAAAUUUGCAGUGCCAAGAAAUGUCACCUGCCUAAUAGGUUCGGGUACAUAAGACUGCUUAUAAAUAUAGAAGAGCAGGGUUGAGAUGCUUGUGUUCCUCUGCAGCAAAGUGGGGCAUAGCUUGGGAGCCCUCACUUACAAAGCUUUGCAGGGACAUGCUUAUUCCACAGAGAAUGGGCUACCUGCACUGACAUCCACUCAGAGAAGUAAUAACUUGGCAAAUCCUACUUAUCAACGUGUAUCCUUUUCUCAAUUAAUUCAAGAUUUUGCGUUUGUUUACUUUCAUCUCCAAAAUAGCAACAACUUCCUUUAAUAUUUCAGACAGUCUGGCAUUUAAGUAACUGAUUGAUGAAUGUUCAAUUGCACUCAGAAGGAGACAGCAAUUCUCAUCAUCCGUAAUUCAUUAGCAUAUAAUGGAAAUGCCGUGCCAAUCAAAUUAAAGUUGCAUGUGAUAAGA